UACAGAGGGUGCGAGCGUUGUUCGGAAUUAUUGGGCGUAAAGGGCGCGUAGGCGGUGCGGUAAGUCACCUGUGAAAUCUCCUGGCUCAACUGGGAGCUUGCAGGCGAAACUGCCGUGCUGGAGUGUGGGAGAGGUGCGUGGAAUUCCCGGUGUAGCGGUGAAAUGCGCAGAUAUCAGGAGGAACACCAAUUGCGAAGGCAGCUCGCUGGGACGUUACUGACGCUGAGACGCGAAAGCGUGGGGAGCAAACAGG
Molecule: ribosomal RNA, 253 nt
Filed under: uncultured bacterium
Lineage: Bacteria
Description: partial 16S ribosomal RNA
Rfam family: Bacterial small subunit ribosomal RNA
Source: RNAcentral